Lolium rigidum is the source of this 2148-nucleotide long non-coding RNA. RefSeq lists it as uncharacterized. Lineage: Eukaryota; Viridiplantae; Streptophyta; Magnoliopsida; Poales; Poaceae. The record is from RefSeq and is a predicted model, not a curated record. The transcript has 4 exons.
CAGGGCUCAUUUGAUCCACGCAGUGACCGACAAACUAACGAUCCUGGCGAAGGAGGCAACUUCUCAAAAGGGCUGUUCCAGAGGCGAAUGCAAUGCUUUCAUUGAGCUAGUCACUAGAACAUGUGUAGAGCUUGUUGGGGAACUUGGCGGAUCAUCACUUUGCGACAUUGCUGCUACGGUUCCCUGUUCAUUGACAGCACCAACCAUUGCAGCUGAACCUGAGGUAGAGCACCAGAGGGAUAAUGAGGACGGCAUAACUGAUCCCAUGUUGCCUGACCAGGAGACUGAGCCUGGCCCCGAUUCCGAGAGGCGGACUCGAAGCCAGGUUGGCCACACACAAGUGGAUGGCACAGUCCAUACAAAUUCACCACCAGGAAAGAGGAAGAGAGGCAGGCCGGGGCCAAGAUGAAAAAUGCUGUCGUAUCACAGCCUCCUUUGAUUCUAUCGUGUUCCCUGCCAUCUGUCUGCUGUCGUUGAGCCAUCACAUUAAUGAAACUAGUCUUGGACAGUUGAUUCUCUGCUUACUGCUCUUACUUGCAAAAUGACGCCUGUGUGUUUCUUGGCGUAAGAAGCUGUUGUCUGAAGGAAGGACAUGAUGGUUAGCGAGUUCAACAGUUCAUAGCUCCGACAAAGUCUAACACUGGGCGGCUCCAGAAGCAGAGGUUGCAGACAGUGAUGGAGAAAUUGUCUUAGAUGGCGUAUAAGCUCCCCACGGCUCACCAUUAGCGAGCUGCAUUGCAGGUCUACAACGACCACAUGAUUCCCCAGAAAAGGUGUCGUGUGAUUGCUUCAAUCAGGCUACAAAGAUCGCCCACAACCGGUACCAGCCUAGGCCUGAUGUUCCCCCACUUCUCUGCUGUUUUGUAUCCAUGGCGUGUGCUCAGCCCCGCGCCAUGUGGUGGUGUUUAUGUUAGUCCAAGGAACCAUAAUGUUGUAGCGUGGAAUUGUGCAUGGAAAUCGAUGCAUCUCCUUAGCCAUGGCUGCAAUUUGCAAAUCAUCUACUGAUCCUCAGGUGUCGCCGUGGUAGCAUUCAUAAUGAUUGGGCAGAUAAGCACUAGUGUUUUGUGGACUGUGGGAAGUCAAGGAGCAGAAUGUUAUCAAGGAAGAACGACCAUACAAUCAUGUCAACUAUAUGGUCUAAUUGCGGUGGUACAGACGGUCGAGACACAUCUGUCUCUGUAGCCCGAGGAUAAGUAAUGGUCACAAGGAUGAGGGCUUCUUUGCGUGCUUCUCAGCUCUGAUAUGCCCCCAGGGCUCAUUUGAUACACUCAGUGACCGACAAACUCACUAUCCUGGCAAAGGAGGCAACUUCUCAAAAGGGCUGCUCAGAGGCAAAUGUAUUGCUUUCAUUGAGCGAGUCACUAGAUCAUGCGUCUAGCAUGCAUCUAGCUUGUUGGGGAACUUGGCGGAUCGUUACUUUGCGACAUUGCUGCUUCAGUUCCAUGUUCAUCGACAACAGCAAUAGUUGCAGCUAAGCCUGAGGUGGAGCACCAGAGGGAUAAGUAGAAUGGGAUAAGUUAUUCCAUUGCUCCUGAUCAGGAGACGGGAAGGCGGACUUGAAGCCAGGUUGGCCACACUCAAGUAGACAUCACAAUCUGUUUGUGGUAACCACCAGGCAAGAGGAAGAGAGUCAGACUGGGUCCAAGAUGAAACUGGUCGGUUAGUUGUUUUGAAUUGUGGUUUUCGGUGCUCAUGUUGGAUAUUCCCAGCACAGCUCCUUCGGUUUUAUCGGCCUGCUGUCUGCCUGUGCUGUAAUUGAGGUAUUGCAUAAAUGAUUCCUGGACUAUUAUUUCUCUGCUUACUGGUCUUACUUGCAAACUACAGAUUCUGUGUGUGUUUUGGCGUAAGAAGUUGGGGUCUGAAGCAAGGACAUGAUGAUUAGCAGUUCAACAGUUCAUGACUACAACAAGUUCAAAACCGGUGGCUCCAGAAGGGACAUGUUGUGUAGAGCGGUGGAGAAAUCGUCUCAGUUGACAUAUGAACUGCUUCCCUCGUCAAACCGUUAGGGGUCUGGAUUGCAGGUCCACGACGAGUCCAUGAUUCCCCCAGAAAGGCUGACGUGUGACCUAGGUCUGAUGUUCGGUACUUCACUGUAGUAUGCUUCUUGAUCCACGUAUAGUCUUAGCCAUGGCUGCAGUUUGCAUAUCA